AGCAUGAUUAAUGUGAUACAUACAGAAGAGCAGCAGAGUGAGUGUGGAAUUACAGUCGGUGCCAGUUCACCUAGAGACAUUUAUCUUUUCUUUUUUUCCCUCGUGCCUGCGCUGAGCCUCAGGAUCAGAAUGGAAAAGAGAACUAUCGGGCUCCCUGCCUGGCUGGGAGUGUUGCUGAGCACACAGCGGCUACAAUAAUGCUCAGCAGGCCAAACUGGGUGUAUCAGUUUAUGGAUGAAGAGGAUGUGGUGGAACCUCACUGGCAAGGGAAAAGUAAUAGAAAAAAAGAGGCAUAUGUGCAUAUAUAGGAAGAAACAUGAAAAGUUGUAGAAGCUUCCAGCAAGAGAAGUGCUG
Molecule: long non-coding RNA, 354 nt
Organism: Heterocephalus glaber (naked mole-rat)
Lineage: Eukaryota; Metazoa; Chordata; Mammalia; Rodentia; Bathyergidae
Source: RefSeq, a predicted model, not a curated record